Molecule: ribosomal RNA, 497 nt
Filed under: uncultured bacterium
Lineage: Bacteria
Description: partial 16S ribosomal RNA
Rfam family: Bacterial small subunit ribosomal RNA
Source: RNAcentral
GAUGAACGCUGGCGGCGUGCCUAAUACAUGCAAGUCGAGCGAACGGACGAGAAGCUUGCUUCUCUGAUGUUAGCGGCGGACGGGUGAGUAACACGUGGAUAACCUACCUAUAAGACCGGGAUAACUUCGGGAAACCGUAGCUAAUACCGGAUAAUAUUUUGAACCGCAUGGUUCAAAAGUGAAAGACGGUCUUGCUGUCACUUAUAGAUGGAUCCGCGCUGCAUUAGCUAGUUGGUAAGGUAACGGCUUACCGAGGCAACGAUGCAUAGCCGACCUGAGAGGGUGAUCGGCCACACUGGAACUGAGACACGGUCCAGACUCCUACGGGAGGCAGCAGUAGGGAAUCUUCCGCAAUGGGCGAAAGCCUGACGGAGCAACGCCGCGUGAGUGAUGAAGGUCUUCGGAUCGUAAAACUCUGUUAUUAGGGAAGAACAUAUGUGUAAGUAACUGUGCACAUCUUGACGGUACCUAAUCAGAAAGCCACGGCUAACUACGUG